Molecule: ribosomal RNA, 254 nt
Filed under: uncultured bacterium
Lineage: Bacteria
Description: partial 16S ribosomal RNA
Rfam family: Bacterial small subunit ribosomal RNA
Source: RNAcentral
UACGGAGGGGGCAAGCGUUGUUCGGAAUUACUGGGCGUAAAGGGCGCGCAGGCGGCUGCUCAAGUCAGGCGUGAAAGGCCUGGGCUCAACCCGGGAAUUGCGCUUGAGACUGGGCUGGCUUGAGUGCGGGAGAGGAUGGUGGAAUUCCCAGUGUAGAGGUGAAAUGCGUAGAUAUCGGGAGGAAUACCAGUGGCGAAGGCGGCUUCUUGGCCUGUUCUUGACGCUGAGGCGCGAAAGCUGGGGGAGCAAACGGG